UGAGUGAUCACAGUUUUUGAGAAUCACGAUGAGGCAUUAAGAGGAGAAGUGUCCCAAGGGAGGUGAGCUGGAGGCAAAGCAAGAGCCACGCUCUACUUCCCUUUGUCUACUAAUACAAAACUUAAU
This 126-nucleotide long non-coding RNA is filed under the name Dasypus novemcinctus (nine-banded armadillo). RNAcentral describes it as "lncRNA (ENSDNOG00000050758.1)". The record is from RNAcentral. Lineage: Eukaryota; Metazoa; Chordata; Mammalia; Cingulata; Dasypodidae.